Molecule: ribosomal RNA, 253 nt
Filed under: Lactobacillus iners DSM 13335
Lineage: Bacteria; Bacillati; Bacillota; Bacilli; Lactobacillales; Lactobacillaceae
Description: partial 16S ribosomal RNA
Rfam family: Bacterial small subunit ribosomal RNA
Source: RNAcentral
UACGUAGGUGGCAAGCGUUGUCCGGAUUUAUUGGGCGUAAAGCGAGUGCAGGCGGUUCGAUAAGUCUGAUGUGAAAGCCUUCGGCUCAACCGGAGAAUUGCAUCAGAAACUGUCGAGCUUGAGUACAGAAGAGGAGAGUGGAACUCCAUGUGUAGCGGUGAAAUGCGUAGAUAUAUGGAAGAACACCGGUGGCGAAGGCGGCUCUCUGGUCUGUUACUGACGCUGAGGCUCGAAAGCAUGGGUAGCGAACAGG